UGUGACCUCAAAUCAGGUAGGACUACCCGCUGAACUUAAGCAUAUCAAUAAGCGGAGGAAAAGAAACUAACAAGGAUUCCCCUAGUAACUGCGAGUGAAGCGGGAAAAGCUCAAAUUUAAAAUCUGGCAGUCUUUGGCUGUCCGAGUUGUAAUCUAGAGAAGCAUUAUCCGCGCUGGACCGUGUACAAGUCUCCUGGAAUGGAGCGUCAUAGAGGGUGAGAAUCCCGUCUUUGACACGGACUGCCAGGGCUUUUGUGAUGUGCUCUCAAAGAGUCGAGUUGUUUGGGAAUGCAGCUCAAAAUGGGUGGUAAAUUCCAUCUAAAGCUAAAUAUUGGCGAGAGACCGAUAGCGAACAAGUACCGUGAGGGAAAGAUGAAAAGAACUUUGGAAAGAGAGUUAAACAGUACGUGAAAUUGCUGAAAGGGAAACGCUUGAAGUCAGUCGCGUUGUCCAGGGAUCAACUCUUGCUUUUGCUUGGUGUAUUUUCUGGUUAACGGGUCAGCAUCAAUUUUGACUAUUGGAAAAAGAUCAAGGGAAUGUGGCAUCUUUAGAUGUGUUAUAGCCCUUGGUUGCAUACAUUAGUUGGGAUUGAGGAACUCAGCACGCCGAAAGGCCGAGUGUUUAACUACGUACGUGCUUAGGAUGCUGGCAAAAUGGCUUUAAUCGACCCGUCUUGAAACACGGACCAAGGAGUCUAACAUGCCUGCGAGUGUUUGGGUGGAAAACCCGAGCGCGCAAUGAAAGUGAAAGUUGAGAUCCCUGUCGUGGGGAGCAUCGACGCCCGGACUUGACCUUUUGUGACGGUUCCGCGGUAGAGCAUGUAUGUUGGGACCCGAAAGAUGGUGAACUAUGCCUGAAUAGGGUGAAGCCAGAGGAAACUCUGGUGGAGGCUCGUAGCGAUUCUGACGUGCAAAUCGAUCGUCAAAUUUGGGUAUAGGGGCGAAAGA
This 947-nucleotide ribosomal RNA is filed under the name Cortinarius guttatus. Its description in RNAcentral is "eukaryotic LSU rRNA". It matches the Rfam family "Eukaryotic large subunit ribosomal RNA", at positions 1 to 930 of the family's 3401-position model. The record is from RNAcentral. Lineage: Eukaryota; Fungi; Basidiomycota; Agaricomycetes; Agaricales; Cortinariaceae.